This 426-nucleotide ribosomal RNA is filed under the name uncultured Megasphaera sp. RNAcentral describes it as "bacterial SSU rRNA". It matches the Rfam family "Bacterial small subunit ribosomal RNA", at positions 356 to 774 of the family's 1533-position model. Lineage: Bacteria; Bacillati; Bacillota; Negativicutes; Veillonellales; Veillonellaceae. The record is from RNAcentral.
GGGGAAUCUUCCGCUAUGGACGAAAGUCUGACGGAGCAACGCCGCGUGCACGAUGACAGCCGUCGGGUUGUAAAGUUCUGUUAUGCGGGACGCAGGGCGAAGCGGUCAAUACCCGUUACGGGGGACGGUAACGUAAGAGCAAGAGACGGCUAACUACGUGCCAGCAGCCGCGGUAAUACGUAGGUGGCAAGCGUUGUCCGGAAUUAUUGGGCGUAAAGGGCGCGCAGGCGGCGUCGUAAGUCGGUCUUAAAAGUGCGGGGCUUAACCCCGUGAGGGGACCGAAACUGCGAUGCUAGAGUAUCGGAGAGGAAAGCGGAAUUCCUAGUGUAGCGGUGAAAUGCGUAGAUAUUAGGAGGAACACCAGUGGCGAAAGCGGCUUUCUGGACGACAACUGACGCUGAGGCGCGAAAGCCAGGGGAGCAAACG